AGGUGAACAAACAGAAACUCUUCAGUACACCCUACACACCUUUGUCACAGCUGUAACAACUACAACACCCAGCAGUGUCUGGCUCUGCACAGACUCAGGUACAGCCUGGAGAUGAUGUCCGUCAGAAAGCAGAAUGUAUGGACGAAGGGGGAGAGCAGAGAGGAGCUCACUGAGGAACCUGCAGUCCAAGUACAUCGUUAGGACCACGAUAAUGAAUCAGUCAAAAGGGGUCGACACUGGGUUGCUGUAUCCUCUUUACCCUCUCAAUCUGGACCCCUGGACCCAGAUUCUGUUGUCUUAGUUUCCCAGCAAGGCUUUCAAAUACAGUUUACAACAACCUGCAAAAGACCCAAGUUUACAACCCGGAAAUGUCCUUGCUAUGAAACUUUAUCUAAAUCUAUGAAUGUGUACCAGUACAGAUAAGAGUCCUUCAGUGACUCCUAAAUGUCACAUCUAAGUCCGGGAAUCUCCUGGAUAUGUGGGGUUGUCCCUGAGAGAGAGUGUUGAUCCAGCACUCUACAGCCGCCCAAUCACAGAUAGCUGACUGAAACUUGAUUGGCUCAUCUGCAGGGUUAUUUAGGACAAGCAUUGAAAGCAUCCAUUUACUUUUCCUCCAUCUCUGUCUUCUUAGCUGUAUGUAAAUGUAAACUGACCGUGCUGAUGUGUGCAUGUUUUUGUCUUCAGGUCAUAUCAGUAAAAGUUUAGGUUUGGAAAAGUAUGAGUAUAUCCUUGAUUGCUGUCUUUAAAAAGCAACUUAGGUAACACAACUUGGAUGAGUAUUUAGAUUAGCUAAAUGCCAAUGUAAACACACCUCACUGCUGCAGCUAACGCAAACAGACAAAACCAAGGCUACAGGCUAAAACACACCUGCUGAAGUUGAAUAAUUUAAUCAGCUACUUGGCAAAAGCAUCUGUAUCACAUGAUCAUCCUCAGCAGAUGGAGUUUGCUCAGCUGUCAAUGAAGAUAUUCAAGCUUAAAAUUUUCUGAGCACGUUCAAGACUACAGAGAUACCAAGUGGGGUUGUUUACUUUCUUCAUUAUUGCACUUAUUGCAUUGUUUGGAAAAAGGGUUACAUGAGGGUACAGGGUUGGACAUGAAAAACAGAAAUAAACCAAAGCGACCACA
Molecule: long non-coding RNA, 1125 nt
Organism: Seriola dumerili (greater amberjack)
Lineage: Eukaryota; Metazoa; Chordata; Actinopteri; Carangiformes; Carangidae
Exons: 3
Source: RefSeq, a predicted model, not a curated record